RNAcentral lists this transfer RNA (85 nucleotides) under Felis catus (domestic cat). It matches the Rfam family "tRNA". Rfam says of the family: Transfer RNA (tRNA) molecules are approximately 80 nucleotides in length. Their secondary structure includes four short double-helical elements and three loops (D, anti-codon, and T loops). Further hydrogen bonds mediate the characteristic L-shaped molecular structure. tRNAs have two regions of fundamental functional importance: the anti-codon, which is responsible for specific mRNA codon recognition, and the 3' end, to which the tRNAs corresponding amino acid is attached (by aminoacyl-tRNA synthetases). tRNAs cope with the degeneracy of the genetic code in two manners: having more than one tRNA (with a specific anti-codon) for a particular amino acid; and 'wobble' base-pairing, i.e. permitting non-standard base-pairing at the 3rd anti-codon position. The record is from Rfam by way of RNAcentral. Lineage: Eukaryota; Metazoa; Chordata; Mammalia; Carnivora; Felidae.
GCCUGGGUGGCUCAGUUCGUUAAGUGUCUGACUUUGGCUCAGGUCAUGAUCUCACGGUUCGUGGGUUCGAGUCCCACAUUGGGCU